This 253-nucleotide ribosomal RNA is filed under the name uncultured bacterium. Its description in RNAcentral is "partial 16S ribosomal RNA". It matches the Rfam family "Bacterial small subunit ribosomal RNA", at positions 524 to 776 of the family's 1533-position model. The record is from RNAcentral.
UACGAAGGGGGCUAGCGUUGCUCGGAAUCACUGGGCGUAAAGGGCGCGUAGGCGGGCCUUUAAGUCAGGGGUGAAAUCCUGGAGCUCAACUCCAGAACUGCCUUUGAUACUGAGGAUCUUGAGUCCGGGAGAGGUGAGUGGAACUGCGAGUGUAGAGGUGAAAUUCGUAGAUAUUCGCAAGAACACCAGUGGCGAAGGCGGCUCACUGGCCCGGUACUGACGCUGAGGCACGAAAGCGUGGGGAGCAAACAGG